AUUGAACGCUGGCGGCAUGCCUUACACAUGCAAGUCGAACGGUAACAGGUUAAGCUGACGAGUGGCGAACGGGUGAGUAAUGUAUCGGAACGUGCCCAGUCGUGGGGGAUAACUGCUCGAAAGAGCAGCUAAUACCGCAUACGACCUGAGGGUGAAAGCGGGGGAUCGCAAGACCUCGCGCGAUUGGAGCGGCCGAUAUCAGAUUAGGUAGUUGGUGGGGUAAAGGCUCACCAAGCCGACGACCUGUAGCUGGUCUGAGAGGACGACCAGCCACACUGGGACUGAGACACGGCCCAGACUCCUACGGGAGGCAGCAGUGGGGAAUUUUGGACAAUGGGCGCAAGCCUGAUCCAGCCAUGCCGCGUGCGGGAAGAAGGCCUUCGGGUUGUAAACCGCUUUUGUCAGGGAAGAAAAGGUUCUGGCUAAUACCUGGGACUCAUGACGGUACCUGAAGAAUAAGCACCGGCUAACUACGUG
This 477-nucleotide ribosomal RNA is filed under the name uncultured bacterium. RNAcentral describes it as "partial 16S ribosomal RNA". It matches the Rfam family "Bacterial small subunit ribosomal RNA", at positions 30 to 507 of the family's 1533-position model. The record is from RNAcentral.